Molecule: ribosomal RNA, 468 nt
Filed under: uncultured bacterium
Lineage: Bacteria
Description: partial 16S ribosomal RNA
Rfam family: Bacterial small subunit ribosomal RNA
Source: RNAcentral
GACGAACGCUGGCGGCGUGCUUAACACAUGCAAGUCGAACGGAAAGGCCCUGCUUUUGUGGGGUGCUCGAGUGGCGAACGGGUGAGUAACACGUGAGUAACCUGCCCUUGACUUUGGGAUAACUUCAGGAAACUGGGGCUAAUACCGGAUAGGAGCUCCUGCUGCAUGGUGGGGGUUGGAAAGUUUCGGCGGUUGGGGAUGGACUCGCGGCUUAUCAGCUUGUUGGUGGGGUAGUGGCUUACCAAGGCUUUGACGGGUAGCCGGCCUGAGAGGGUGACCGGCCACAUUGGGACUGAGUUACGGCCCAGUCUCCUACGGGAGGCAGCAGUGGGGAAUAUUGCACAAUGGGCUGAAGCCUGAUGCAGCAACGCCGCGUGCGGGAUGACGGCCUUCGGGUUGUAAACCGCUUUCGCCUGUGACGAAGCGUGAGUGACGGUAAUGGGUAAAGAAGCACCGGCUAACUACGUG